Pipra filicauda (Wire-tailed manakin) is the source of this 248-nucleotide long non-coding RNA. RefSeq lists it as uncharacterized. The transcript is spliced from 3 exons. The record is from RefSeq and is a predicted model, not a curated record. Lineage: Eukaryota; Metazoa; Chordata; Aves; Passeriformes; Pipridae.
CAACGGGUUGCCUGCAGCACCUUCUCAUCCCUUCCAGGAGCUGAGCCUCUUCAUGCAGGCUAUUUUGGGCUUGCUGUGAAGUUCUCAGUGUACUUUCUCAGCCAGAGCAGCAUUGUGAGCUCCUUCUGGAGUCAUGAAAUUUAACGAAGAGCUAGUCCCAGGAAGAGGCAUCAGGAUCUUAAGGAAUUUGUGGAAUAUUCAAGCUGAGUGUUCUUAUUAGUGCACGGUUGAAAAAUGCCACUGCAUAA